This is a transfer RNA of 71 nucleotides. It matches the Rfam family "tRNA". From Rfam's summary of the family: Transfer RNA (tRNA) molecules are approximately 80 nucleotides in length. Their secondary structure includes four short double-helical elements and three loops (D, anti-codon, and T loops).
UCCCGGGUGAUGCAACGGUAGCAUGCCUGACUCUGACUCAGGUCAUCGGAGUUCGAAUCUCUGCCCGGGAG